This 776-nucleotide long non-coding RNA is filed under the name Trifolium pratense (red clover). RNAcentral describes it as "long non-coding RNA (TPRA_LNC009050)". Lineage: Eukaryota; Viridiplantae; Streptophyta; Magnoliopsida; Fabales; Fabaceae. The record is from RNAcentral.
AGACUAAAUGUGAACAAAUUUUUGGAUAAUUUACCAAUUAAAAGUUAUUGUUUUGGGUUGUUGCAUUCUUGACUAAAUGUAGAUAUGCUUUGUUAUUCUUCUGCAAUCUUAAAUUUGUAAUUAUUUACCUUGCAGGUGGGUGGCUGCUUUCUAUAUAUUGUUGGAGUCGAUUAAGAAUCCUGGUGGUUUGUUUGCUAUAUGUUGCAAUAAUAUUUAUACUAGUAUUUUGGUGGUUUCUUGCAAUAAUAUUUGUACUGUAUUGUACUGCUGUUUAAAUUUCUGGUUGGUUUGCUAAAUUUUGCAAUAAUAUUGAGGACUGGAUUGCUUAUUGCGGCUUUAAAGAAAGAUUCUGCAAAACAAGUGCUUUAAGUCCUCCACUUAUGAUCAUCACAUAAUCUAGGUAAGUAUUCAUGCCCUAAUUAACAAAUACUACCUCCAAUUCAAUUUGCUGCACUUGCUUGCUUAUUUGUUGAAACAAAUCUCCUAGUUAAAUUGGAAUGGAGCCUAGGUAAAUAGUCAAAAUACCAUCUCUCUCCUUUUCUAGUUCAAUUAAUUAACAUGUUAUACAAUAUACUCCCUAUAUUGAUACAUCUUACUCUUCUAAAAUCAAUGGAAGAAUUGGAUUGAAUCAGGGAAUAUUGGGAGUCCAUAAAUAUGUGGUAAAAACCCACUAUUCAAGUUUUGAUAUUCGUUUGGGCUAUAAAUUUUUUAUGUUAUUCAAUUUAUGUAACAUGUGUGCAAUGUAUUAUUUUUGCACUGUGUGGUUUGUAUUGCAA